CAGAAAGUGUUUCACAUCGAUAUCAAUUGAUCUUGAAUUGGAAUCUCAUUUAAUUUAACAAAUAAACUUUCAACGCAGUUUGACUCCACUAUAAAGCUCAGGCAAGAUAAUAAUCAUUAUUUACUCAUCAAAAUAAUGUCAUCUUAUCUUUUGUGCCUAUACAGUACCCAAAUCCUCAUCUGGAGUUGUGCCUCGUCUCCUUGAGUUUAUGCAACGGGAUGACGACCCUUUUCUACAGGUUAAAACUUUUUCAGAGCGGAGAUUAUGAUAUGCUCAUGUCAAGUGUAAUCUCCUCUCUCACUCUAGUUCUCUAGGAUGUGGCGGCUGAGACUGUAGCACUCAUUGCUUCUGGAACAUUCGAGCACACCAAGUGUGUAGUCGACUUAGGUGCUCUUCCAAUCUUUGUUAAGCUUCUUGAUCCUUCCUCUGAUGCUGAUGCGCGUGCCAAGAUACUUGGUGGAGCAGAAUUGCAUAAAGCCGUUAUGUGAUCUCCUGGUGUAUUCAGAUUCAAGAAUCAUCUCAUAUUGUCUGGACGGAUUGGAGAACAUUCUGAGGGCUGGAGAGGCAGAGAAGAAGAAACCAGGAGAAGUGAACUGUUAUUCCCAACUGAUCGUUGAUGCACAAGGUAAAGAAUAGAUUAGGAACCUGCAUAGACACAAAGAGCAUGAGUUCAAAGUUUUCAGGAUUCUCAAGACAUACUGCCGCCUCCUACGUGAAGCUUGAAGGUUUCAAACUCCAAAAAGGAUGAUCAGAGUCUCUCUAUACCAUUGUUUCCUUAGGGCUAUUUUGUGUUUUUAUUUUUGAUCACAACUGGCAAAAGAAACAAACCAAAAUAAAUAUAACAAAUCAAGUUUUCAAGCAAAUCA
Raphanus sativus (radish) is the source of this 866-nucleotide long non-coding RNA. RefSeq lists it as uncharacterized. The record is from RefSeq and is a predicted model, not a curated record. Lineage: Eukaryota; Viridiplantae; Streptophyta; Magnoliopsida; Brassicales; Brassicaceae. The transcript has 2 exons.